RNAcentral lists this ribosomal RNA (482 nucleotides) under uncultured bacterium. RNAcentral's name for it is "partial 16S ribosomal RNA". It matches the Rfam family "Bacterial small subunit ribosomal RNA", at positions 29 to 507 of the family's 1533-position model. The record is from RNAcentral.
AUGAACGCUGGCGGCGUGCCUAACACAUGCAAGUCGAACGGAGUCGUUUUGGAAAUCUCUUCGGAGAUGGAAUUCUCGACUUAGUGGCGGACGGGUGAGUAACGCGUGAGCAAUCUGCCUUUAAGAGGGGGAUAACAGUCGGAAACGGCUGCUAAUACCGCAUAAAGCAUUAAAUUCGCAUGUUUUUGAUGCCAAAGGAGCAAUCCGCUUUUAGAUGAGCUCGCGUCUGAUUAGCUAGUUGGCGGGGUAACGGCCCACCAAGGCGACGAUCAGUAGCCGGACUGAGAGGUUGAACGGCCACAUUGGGACUAAGACACGGCCCAGACUCCUACGGGAGGCAGCAGUGGGGAAUAUUGCGCAAUGGGGGAAACCCUGACGCAGCAACGCCGCGUGAUUGAAGAAGGCCUUCGGGUUGUAAAGAUCUUUAAUCAGGGACGAAACAAAUGACGGUACCUGAAGAAUAAGCUCCGGCUAACUACGUG